Molecule: ribosomal RNA, 169 nt
Filed under: Eleutherodactylus chlorophenax
Lineage: Eukaryota; Metazoa; Chordata; Amphibia; Anura; Eleutherodactylidae
Description: partial 16S ribosomal RNA
Source: RNAcentral
CUAAAAAUUUAGCCCAACCCUCCCUCGUACUUCCUCCCAAAAAUUAAAAUAUUUUAACAAUUUAGUAAGGACGACCGAAAAAUUUAUUGGAGCAAUACACAUACCGCAAGGAAAAAUUGAAAUAAGAAUGAAAUAACAUUUAAGCACACAACAGUAGAGAUUCAUACUC